GGGGCACCACCAGGAGUGGAGCCUGCGGCUUAAUUUGACUCAACACGGGGAAAUUUACCCGGCCUGGACACUGGAAGGAUUGACAGAUUGAGAGCUCUUUCUUGAUUCAGUGGGUGGUGGUGCAUGGCCGUUCUUAGUUGGUGGAGCGAUUUGUCUGGUUAAUUCCGAUAACGAACGAGACUCUAGCCUAUUAAAUAGGCUCUCGGCUUUUAAACGCCGGGAGGACUUCUUAGAGGGACAGGUGGCGGUUCAGCCGCACGAAAGAGAGCAAUAACAGGUCUGUGAUGCCCUUUGUUGUCCGGGGCCGCACGCGCGCUACACUGAAGAGAUCAGCGUGCUUUACGUUCCUGCUCCGACCGGAGUGGGGAACCCAGUGAACCUUCUUCGUGAUUGGGAUAGAAGAUUGUAAUUAUUCUUCUUGAACGAGGAAUUCCCAGUAAAUGCGAGUCAUAAGCUCGCGUUGAUUACGUCCCUGCCCUUUGUACACACCGCCCGUCGCUACUACCGAUUGAACGAUUU
RNAcentral lists this ribosomal RNA (519 nucleotides) under uncultured eukaryote. RNAcentral describes it as "SSU rRNA". It matches the Rfam family "Eukaryotic small subunit ribosomal RNA", at positions 1161 to 1699 of the family's 1831-position model. The record is from RNAcentral.